This 1359-nucleotide ribosomal RNA is filed under the name Onthophagus pullus. Its description in RNAcentral is "16S ribosomal RNA". The stretch from base 1076 to 1235 matches the Rfam family "Archaeal large subunit ribosomal RNA", at positions 2544 to 2703 of the family's 2987-position model. The record is from RNAcentral. Lineage: Eukaryota; Metazoa; Arthropoda; Insecta; Coleoptera; Scarabaeidae.
UUAAUAAAUUUAUUUUUAAUUAUUUUGUAAUUUUCAAUGUUUAUUAAAAAUAUUUUUUUUUUUUUAUUAAUUAAGAUAAAAUUUUUUAAAAUUAUAGUGAAUUAGUAUAGAGAUAGAAAAUUGAAAUAGAUUUGAAAAUUAAAAUUGUUAAAAGAAAAUUUAAUUUAUUGUACCUUGUGUAUCAGGGUUUAUUAAAUAAUAAUUAUAUAUUUUAAUUUUCUCGAAUUUAAAAGAGCUAAAAAAUUAUAAAUUUUAUUGUGAAAUAAAUAUUUAAAAUAAUUUUUUAGUAAUGAAACGUUAUUCGUUUUUAAAUUUAUCUAGUUUUUUAAGAAAUGAAUUUAAUUCAGUUAUUUUUUUUUAUUUAAAUAAUUUAAUAUUUAAAUAAAAUUAAUAAUUAAUUUUUUAAGGGAUAAGCUUUAAAAAAAAAUAUAAGAAAUAAAAUUUUAUAUUUAAAAUUUAUAGGAGUGGAAGUAUUUAUUAUUUUAGUGUGUUAUAACAAAUUUUAUAAAAAAUAGAAUUUUUAUAUUAUUUUUAAUUAUUUAUUAAAAUUAUUAAUUUAAUAUUUAAAUUAAUGUAAUAAUGAUAAAAUUAGUAUAAUAUGAUGUUGAAAAUUUUUAAUAAAGAAAGGUUAAAUUAAGGAACUCGGCAAAUAUUUUUUUCGCCUGUUUAUUAAAAACAUGUCUUUUUGAUUAUAAUUUAAAGUCUGACCUGCCCUAUGAUAGUUGUUUAUUAAAUGGCCGCGAUAAUUUGAUCGUGCAAAGGUAGCAUAAUAAUUAGUUUCUUAAUUGGGAACUGGAAUGAAAGGUCGAACGAGAAAAAAUCUGUCUCAAUUUAAUUUUAAUUAGAAUUUUAUAUUUAAGUAAAAAAGCUUAAAUAAUUUUAAAAGACGAGAAGACCCUAUAGAGUUUUAUAUUUAUUAUUUUUUUUUUUAGUUUAAGAAUUAAAUUUUUAAAUUAAUUAAUAAAUAUUUGAUUGGGGUGAUUGAAAAAUUUAAUAAACUUUUUUUAAAAAUUUACCAUUAAUUUAUGAUUAUUUGAUCCAUAAUUUUAUGAUUAAAAGAUUAAAUUACCUUAGGGAUAACAGCGUAAUUUUUUUUAAGAGUUCUUAUCGAAAAAAAAGUUUGCGACCUCGAUGUUGGAUUAAAAUUAACUUUUGGUGUAGAAGCUAAAAUAGUUAGGUCUGUUCGACCUUUAAAAUUUUACAUGAUCUGAGUUUAAACCGGUGUAAGCCAGGUUGGUUUCUAUCUUUAAAAAUUUUAAAUAUUUUAGUACGAAAGGAUCAAGUAUUUAUAAUAAUUAUUAUUUUUUGAAUAUUAUUAAAAUAUUACUUUGGCAGAAUAGUGUUUUAAAUUUAGAAUUU